UGAAGUUGGGUACACCUGCAACAGAGUUUUAUGUGCAGAUUGAUACUGGAAGUGAUGUUUUGUGGGUUGGCUGCAAUUCCUGCAAUGGUUGCCCCAAAUCAACUGGACUUAAAAUUCAGCUGAAAUCUUUUGACCCUAAAAGCUCAUCAACUGCCUCAUUGGUGUCUUGUUCUGAUAAAAUAUGCUCCCUUGGACUUCAGACACAAGAUUCUAGCUGUGAUGCAAAGGAUAAGCAGUGUACUUAUGGGUUCAAGUACGGAGAUGGCAGUGAAACAUCGGGCUAUUAUGUAUCAGACUUGUUGCAUUUUGACACAGCUGGCGGUGGUCAGUCUGUCACCUCAAACUCUUCAGCUAACAUUGUCUUUGGGUGUAGCACCUUAGCAACCGGGGUCUUGCAGAAAACAGAUAGAGCAGUUGAUGGGAU
Molecule: non-coding RNA, 424 nt
Organism: Prunus mume (Japanese apricot)
Lineage: Eukaryota; Viridiplantae; Streptophyta; Magnoliopsida; Rosales; Rosaceae
Source: RefSeq, a predicted model, not a curated record